RNAcentral lists this ribosomal RNA (414 nucleotides) under uncultured bacterium. Its description in RNAcentral is "bacterial SSU rRNA". It matches the Rfam family "Bacterial small subunit ribosomal RNA", at positions 355 to 787 of the family's 1533-position model. The record is from RNAcentral.
UGGGAAGUAUUGCACAAUGGGGAACCGUAGCAUGCAGCGACGCCGCGUGAAGGAAGAAGUAUUUCGGUAUGUAAACUUCUAUCAGCAGGGAAGAAGAUGACGGUACCUGAGUAAGAAGCACCGGCUAAAUACGUGCCAGCAGCCGCGGUAAUACGUAUGGAGCAAGCGUUAUCCGGAUUUACUGGGUGUAAAGGGAGCGUAGGCGGCAUGGCAAGUCUGAUGUGAAAUCCCGGGGCUCAACCCGGAGCUGCAUUGGAAACUGUCAGGCUGGAGUGUCGGAGAGGUAAGUGGAAUUCCUAGUGUAGCGGUGAAAUGCGUAGAUAUUAGGAGGAACACCAGUGGCGAAGGCGGCUUACUGGACGGUAACUGACGUUGAGGCUCGAAAGCGUGGGGAGCAAACAGGAUUAGAUACCC